RNAcentral lists this ribosomal RNA (542 nucleotides) under Hygrophorus olivaceoalbus. RNAcentral's name for it is "eukaryotic LSU rRNA". The stretch from base 148 to 301 matches the Rfam family "5.8S ribosomal RNA". Lineage: Eukaryota; Fungi; Basidiomycota; Agaricomycetes; Agaricales; Hygrophoraceae. The record is from RNAcentral.
GGAAGAAGGGGGGCCUUUNANAAAUGAGGAAACCCCUAUCCNAAUUUUACACCCUGUGCACCUUUUGUAGGCUGACAUUGUUGGCCUAUGUUUUUCAAUACACCACUGUCAUAAAAGUUUUUAGAAUGCCAUUUUGAAAAUAUAUACAACUUUCAACAACGGAUCUCUUGGCUCUCGCAUCGAUGAAGAACGCAGCGAAAUGCGAUAAGUAAUGUGAAUUGCAGAAUUCAGUGAAUCAUCGAAUCUUUGAACGCACCUUGCGCUCCUUGGUAUUCCGAGGAGCAUGCCUGUUUGAGUGUCAUUAAAUUCUCAAACCUCUCUAUUAUUAUUAUAGAGAGGCAUUUGGACUUGGAGUGUUGCUGGCUUCAUUUGUCAGCUACUCUUAAAUGCAUUAGCUUGUAUCUUGNGGAUAAGCUUUGGUUUGAUAAUAUCUAUGCCAUCGCUGUGAAACAAAUGUCAGCUUCUAAACCAUUCAUAUCUUAACAAUUUGACCUCAAAUCAGGUAGGACUACCCGCUGAACUUAAGCAUAUCAAUAAGCGGA